Molecule: non-coding RNA, 28 nt
Filed under: Homo sapiens (human)
Lineage: Eukaryota; Metazoa; Chordata; Mammalia; Primates; Hominidae
Source: RNAcentral
UCCAAAGAGACCAGAGCUGAGAGAUGGU